Molecule: RNase P RNA, 355 nt
Filed under: Prevotellaceae bacterium
Lineage: Bacteria; Pseudomonadati; Bacteroidota; Bacteroidia; Bacteroidales; Prevotellaceae
Description: RNase P RNA component class A
Rfam family: Bacterial RNase P class A
About the family: Ribonuclease P (RNase P) is a ubiquitous endoribonuclease, found in archaea, bacteria and eukarya as well as chloroplasts and mitochondria. Its best characterised activity is the generation of mature 5'-ends of tRNAs by cleaving the 5'-leader elements of precursor-tRNAs. Cellular RNase Ps are ribonucleoproteins.
Source: RNAcentral
CCGGUAAGGUGUUCUACCGCUGCUGCUUUGCAGGAGAGGAAAGUCCGGGCAAGACAGAGCGCCACGCUACCUAACGGGUAGAUGUUCGUAAGGGCAUGUAAAGCGUAACAGAGAAUAACCGCCUUGUAGCAACGUGUUGCAGGCAAGGUAAGGGUGAAAAGGCGAGGUAAGAGCUCACCGCGACAAUGGCAACAUUGAUCGGCAGCACGCACCGUGGCUUGCAAGACCGCGUACACCGGCGUUUGAGGGUUGCUCGUCCGAUGCCGGGGGGUAGGUUGCUUGAGCGUUGCAGUGAUGCAGCGCCUAGAUAAAUGGUAGAACCUGACAGAACCCGGCUUAUAGCCUUACCGGAUUU